UACGAAGGGGGCUAGCGUUGUUCGGAUUUACUGGGCGUAAAGCGCACGUAGGCGGAUUGUUAAGUCGGGGGUGAAAUCCUGGAGCUCAACUCCAGAACUGCCUUCGAUACUGGCGAUCUCGAGUUCGGGAGAGGUGAGUGGAACUGCGAGUGUAGAGGUGAAAUUCGUAGAUAUUCGCAAGAACACCAGUGGCGAAGGCGGCUCACUGGCCCGAUACUGACGCUGAGGUGCGAAAGCGUGGGGAGCAAACAGG
RNAcentral lists this ribosomal RNA (253 nucleotides) under uncultured bacterium. RNAcentral's name for it is "partial 16S ribosomal RNA". It matches the Rfam family "Bacterial small subunit ribosomal RNA", at positions 524 to 776 of the family's 1533-position model. The record is from RNAcentral.